Molecule: long non-coding RNA, 713 nt
Organism: Oncorhynchus tshawytscha (Chinook salmon)
Lineage: Eukaryota; Metazoa; Chordata; Actinopteri; Salmoniformes; Salmonidae
Source: Ensembl
GGUGGAGUGAGAUGAGAUGAGGUGAGGUGAGGUAACGUAUGGUGGGGUGAGGUGAUUAGAGGUGUGGUAGGGUGAGGUGAGGUAAGGUAUGGUGGGGUGAGGUACGGUAUGGUGGGGUGAGGUAUGGUGGGGUGAGAUAAGGUAUGGUGGGGUGAGUUAAGGUAUGGUGGGGUGAGAUGAGGUUAGGUAUGGUAAGGUGAGUUAAGGUAUAGUGGGGUGAGAUGAGGUAAGGUAUGGUAAGGUGAGUUAAGGUAUAGUGGGGUGGGGUGAGUUACGGUAUGGUGGGGUGAGGUGUGGUGGGCUGAGGUGUGGUGGGGUGAGGUAAGGUAUGGUGGGGUGAGGUGUGGUGGGGUGAGGUGUGGUGGGGUAAGGUAUGGUGGGGUAAGGUAUGGUGGGGUGAGGUGAGGUAAGGUGGGGUGAGGUAAGGUAUGGUGGGGCGAGGUAAGGUAUGGUGCGAUGAGGUGAGGUAAGGUGGGUUGAGGUGUGGUGGGGUAAGGUAUGGUGGGGUGAGGUAAGGUAUGGUGGGGUGAGGUGAGGUGAGGUAAGGUAUAGUGGGGUGAGAGGAGGUAAGGUAUGGUGGGGUGAGGUAAGGUAUAGUGGGGUGAGAGGAUGUAAGGUAUGGUGGGGUGAGGUAAGGUAUGGUGGGGUGGGGUGAGGCGAGGUACGGUGGGGUGAGGUAUGGUGGGGUGGGGUGAGUUAACAUAUGGUGGGGU